UACGUAGGUCCCGAGCGUUGUCCGGAUUUAUUGGGCGUAAAGCGAGCGCAGGUGGUUUAUUAAGUCUGGUGUGAAAGGCAGUGGCUCAACCAUUGUAUGCAUUGGAAACUGGUAGACUUGAGUGCAGGAGAGGAGAGUGGAAUUCCAUGUGUAGCGGUGAAAUGCGUAGAUAUAUGGAGGAACACCGGUGGCGAAAGCGGCUCUCUGGCCUGUAACUGACACUGAGGCUCGAAAGCGUGGGGAGCAAACAGG
This 252-nucleotide ribosomal RNA is filed under the name uncultured bacterium. Its description in RNAcentral is "partial 16S ribosomal RNA". It matches the Rfam family "Bacterial small subunit ribosomal RNA", at positions 524 to 776 of the family's 1533-position model. The record is from RNAcentral.